This 464-nucleotide ribosomal RNA is filed under the name uncultured bacterium. RNAcentral's name for it is "partial 16S ribosomal RNA". It matches the Rfam family "Bacterial small subunit ribosomal RNA", at positions 32 to 507 of the family's 1533-position model. The record is from RNAcentral.
AACGCUGGCGGCGUGCUUAACACAUGCAAGUCGAACGGAAAGGCCCUGCUUUUGUGGGGUGCUCGAGUGGCGAACGGGUGAGUAACACGUGAGUAACCUGCCCUUGACUUUGGGAUAACUUCAGGAAACUGGGGCUAAUACCGGAUAGGAGCCCCUGCUGCAUGGUGGGGGUUGGAAAGUUUCGGCGGUUGGGGAUGGACUCGCGGCUUAUCAGCUUGUUGGUGGGGUAGUGGCUUACCAAGGCUUUGACGGGUAGCCGGCCUGAGAGGGUGACCGGCCACAUUGGGACUGAGAUACGGCCCAGACUCCUACGGGAGGCAGCAGUGGGGAAUAUUGCACAAUGGGCGGAAGCCUGAUGCAGCAACGCCGCGUGCGGGAUGACGGCCUUCGGGUUGUAAACCGCUUUCGCCUGUGACGAAGCGUGAGUGACGGUAAUGGGUAAAGAAGCACCGGCUAACUACGUG